GAGGAAUAUUGGUCAAUGGCCUAACGGCUGAACCAGCAACUUGCAGGAAUGAGAGUUAAUAUAAUAGAUUUAUUAACUUGCUUGACUAGGUCUUAUAAAGUUCUGGAUAAAGCUGAUUAUGACAACUUUAUAUCCAUAGGUCUCGACUAAAUCUUGUGCCAGCAGUCGCGGUAAGACAAGGGAGACGAGUGUUAUUCAUCUUGAACAGGUAUAUUGGGUACCUAGACUGUGUAUGAAGGCUUUUAUAGUACCUACUACACUAGAGUUUAAUAUGUGAGAGGAAGAUGUCAGAAUUAUUGGAGUAGAGAUGAAAUCCUUUAAUACUAAUAGGACUGAUAAUGGCGAAGGCAAACCUCUAUGUAUAUGUACUUUAUUUAAAUAGAUUUAAAUGGAAAAUAAAAUAGUUAAAUACUUUUAAUUAGUUUAUAUUCACAUUUAAUUGUCUUAUGUGUCUAUAGAGAGAUACAAUAAAAGAAUAAGUAAAGUACAGAACUGACGUUGAGGGACGAAGGCUCAGAGAGUGAAGAGGAUUAGAUACCCCGUAGCCUGGGCAGACAAUGAUGAGUGCCAUAGGUUGGCUUUUAAGUUGAACUAUAAAUGAAAGUGGAAGCACUCCACCUCAAGAGUAAUGUGGCAACGCAGGAACUGAAAUCAUUAGACCGUUUCUGAAACCAGUAGUGAAGUAUGUUAUUUAAUUCGAUGAUCCGCGAAUAACCUUACCACAAUUUGAAUGCUCUAAAUUUUAUAUAAUUAAUCUAUAUGCUUAUCUCUGGUUUAUAUAUUUUAAGUUUAUCGGAUAUGAUUAUAAAAUAAAAUUAUCAACUAUACAGAUAGAUAGCCAUAUUUUAUAAUUAUAUUAUUUAGACCACAUGCGUUGCAUGGCUGUCUUCAGUUAAUGUCGUGAGAUUUGGUUAGGUCCAUUAAAUUAACGUAAACCCUUGUUUUAUUUAAUACAAUAAGGCAGCUCUCCGCUUACAAUUGGAUAUGAUAACAGGGACUAAGACAAGUCAUCAUGGCCUUAAUAUUGUGGGCUAUAGACGUG
RNAcentral lists this ribosomal RNA (1042 nucleotides) under Sordaria tenerifae. RNAcentral describes it as "mitochondrial SSU rRNA". It matches the Rfam family "Bacterial small subunit ribosomal RNA", at positions 356 to 1224 of the family's 1533-position model. The record is from RNAcentral. Lineage: Eukaryota; Fungi; Ascomycota; Sordariomycetes; Sordariales; Sordariaceae.